GCGACCUCUUAGUUAAGAGUCAGCUCUAGCACGUGCUCGUAGGCACUUUGUGAGAGUAAAAGGUGGGUUAUAUAAUAAAAUUAUAGUACACCUUUUUAAUCAACUGUCGUACAUGUUGGCUACAAGAUGAGUUAUAGAUUUUUUUCGAAAAGGAGGCCUCGCCCCGGCCUCUGCAUCGAGUGAUGCAUACAGCCAUCUUAUUUAAAGAUGAGUUAUAGAUGACAUGACAAUGACUUCUAACUAGCAGUUUACUAUACUAUUAACCAUGCUCUAACCGACCCCUCGAUGCAUCCAAGCAGCAUCGAAUUGUCUCCCAACCGUCCCACGUUUGUCAUAUCAUACGCAUCUGAUAAGAUAAUUUUCUAUCCCACGGCGAUUAUACAUAGAAUGAUAGGUCGGACUGGACAAGGUAAAGGUACAAUUCCAUGUGCGAUGUAACGGG
RNAcentral lists this long non-coding RNA (442 nucleotides) under Hordeum vulgare. RNAcentral describes it as "long non-coding RNA (HVUL_LNC008444)". Lineage: Eukaryota; Viridiplantae; Streptophyta; Magnoliopsida; Poales; Poaceae. The record is from RNAcentral.